RNAcentral lists this unclassified non-coding RNA (293 nucleotides) under uncultured Bartonella sp. RNAcentral's name for it is "partial 16S-23S ribosomal RNA intergenic spacer". The record is from RNAcentral. Lineage: Bacteria; Pseudomonadati; Pseudomonadota; Alphaproteobacteria; Hyphomicrobiales; Bartonellaceae.
UUGAUAAGCGUGAGGUCGGAGGUUCAAGUCCUCCCAGGCCCACCAAUUUACCUAUCCAUUUGCCUUUAUCCGUUUAUUUGCCGAUUUAUCGGUCCAUUGAAUUUAAGUGUUGGUAGCAGUUUUUAUAAUGAUGAGAAAUCAUGCUUAUAAAAGAACUCCUUAUAAAAGGCUUUAAAUUUUGCAAAACACUUUGAAUUUUAAAGUGAUCCAAGUUCGUGAUCUCGAAUUUAAAAGUUUCAAAUACUUUAUCCUUUUUUGGGGGCCGUAGCUCAGCUGGGAGAGCACCUGCUUUG